GCGCUAGAGGUGAAUUUCUUAGAUUGCCGAAAGACAAACUGCUGCGAAAGCGUCUSCCAAGGAUGUUUUCAUUGAUCAAGAACGAAAGUAAGGGGAUCGAAGACGAUCAGAUACCGUCGUAGUCUUUACUAUAAACGAUGAGGACUGGGGAUCGGGCGAGGAAUUACGAUGACCCGCCCGGCACCCUUCGAGAAAUCAAAGUGUUUGCUUUCUGGGGGGAGUAUGGUCGCAAGGCUGAAACUUAAAGGAAUUGACGGAAGGGCAUCACCGGGUGUGGASCCUGCGGCUUAAUUUGACUCAACACGGGAAAACUUACCAGGUCAGGACAUAGUGAGGAUUGACAGAUUGAGAGCUCUUUCUUGAUUCUAUGGUUGGUGGUGCAUGGCCGUUCUUAGUUGGUGGAGUGAUUUGUCUGGUUAAUUCCGUUAACGAGCGAGACCUGGGCGUGCUAACUAGGGGCUAUUAUCAUUUUGGUAGUACGUUCCCCUUCUUAGACGGACUGUGGGCGUCUAGCCCACGGAAGCUCCAGGCAAUAACAGGUCUGAGAUGCCCUUAGAUGUUCUGGGCCGCACGCGUGCUACACUGAGUGGAUCAGCGGGUCAGGUUACGCGAGAGCGUUUCCUAAUCUUCAAAUCCGCUCGUGAUGGGGAUUGACGGUUGCAAUUUUCCGUCAUGAACGAGGAAUACCUUGUAAGCGCGGGUCAUCAUCCCGCGCUGAAUACGUCCCUGCCCUUUGUACACACCGCCCGUCGCUCCUACCGAUUGAGUGGUCCGGUGAGGSUUUGGGAUCUAAGCGAAAAGAGCGUUUCKCUCCUUUUGCUGGGAGAACUCAGUCGAACCUUAUCAUUUAGAGGAA
RNAcentral lists this ribosomal RNA (856 nucleotides) under Pneophyllum sp. G_Twist-2019. RNAcentral's name for it is "SSU rRNA". It matches the Rfam family "Eukaryotic small subunit ribosomal RNA", at positions 913 to 1801 of the family's 1831-position model. Lineage: Eukaryota; Rhodophyta; Florideophyceae; Corallinales; Corallinaceae. The record is from RNAcentral.